This is a long non-coding RNA of Brachypodium distachyon (stiff brome), 1378 nucleotides long. RefSeq lists it as uncharacterized. NCBI's taxonomy places the organism in Eukaryota, Viridiplantae, Streptophyta, Magnoliopsida, Poales, Poaceae. The transcript is spliced from 6 exons. The record is from RefSeq and is a predicted model, not a curated record.
CCGUUACCCUAGAUUUCCUCCUGACCUGUCUCACUCCCUCACUCCUACUCCCUCCCGAGCCGCCGCCGCUCCCCACAUCAGCCCCGCCUCCUCCGGUGCCGACCUCGCCUCCGCCCGUCCCUGCCUCCCCAUCGCGCUGACCCCCGCCUCCCCAUCGUGCCUCCCUGCCUCUCCUCCACCGGCCCGGCCUCCCCAUCGCGCCCCCUGCUCUCCCCCAUCCUGGAUCCCAUCCCCGAGCCGCCGCCAGUCCCCUCGCCCCUCUCCUCCGCCGCCCCCGCCCCUGUUCUCCUCUGCCCUCGCGCCGCCCCCCGCCUCCCUCGAUCCGCCACAGACGACCCCCGCCUCGUCGGAUCCGCCACGGGCCGCCGCCAGCAAGAUAGGAGAGGCCGGAUCCGCCGCCCCUGAGCCCGCGCGCCGCCGGAUCAGCCGCCGUCGACCUCCUCGCUGGUCGGAUCCGUCGCCCUCGUGCCCGAGCGUCGCCGGAUCCGGCCUCCCCUAUCUCAAGCGCCUGACACAGGUGUUGAUGCAGAAAGAGAGUCACUUAGAGAUUUUCAACCAUUACAAUUCCACUAUAUUGGAAUAUCUAAGCUUCUGUUUAAUCAUGCUUGUGAUGACAUCUCAGAUGCAUACUUGGUGAGAUUUUUUAUUGAGGACAUCAGAGAUGUCAGGUUCCAUAAGGUUGAGACUGGAUUGUAGAAAAUCUCUGGCCGUAUAUCUAAGAAGAUCAAAGCCAACCAGACCUUACAAACAUGACUGACUCAUGCUCUGAAGAGGCUAAGACGCAGAUAACAAGCAAGACAUGCAUGUAUCAGUCACUUGUAUUUGCAGAUGAUUUACUACAUAUCUGUGGAUUGCAGUAAAUUGGAGGACUAAACAGGAACCUACCCUAAGAGUUCCUAUUUACCUUAAACAGGAACUAUUCCGAACUAUCACCUCCUACAAUCGACGCGGGCGAGCCCGCGGCACCUCCUCCCGACGCGCCCACCGGCUACCACCUUCUUCCCCCGGCGCGGGCGAGCGAGUGGUGGCGGAGGCCGAUGCGAGAGAGCCCGGGAGAGCUACCUCCCGGUCGCGGCUGAGCGGACCUUCUUCUCCGGCACGGGCGGGCGAGCGGCGGCGGAGGCAAUCGAUAGUUUUACGAUAUAUUUUGAACCGCUUGUCGGAAUGAUGCAAAUUAUACGGCGUUGGAAAGCUAUGAACCAGGCGCAACUUUUUUGUUUAUAACGUUUUUGCUAAUUCUUAACGGUUUAAGAGCAGUUUGCAAAUUACCGUCCGACAAAUUACGACCAAACAAAAAACAGCGGACGGUAUUUUUACGAUAUAUUUUGAAGCACUUGUCGGAAUUAUGCAAAUGAUACGGUUGGAAAGUUAUGAACUA